GAAGCGGCAACAGCUCAAAUUUGAAAUCUGACCCUUUGGGGUCCGAGUUGUAAUUUGCAGAGGGUGUUUCGGGCACGGUGCCGGUUUAAGUCCUUUGGAACAGGGUGUCAUAGAGGGUGAGAACCCCGUAUGUGACCGGUCGCCAAACCUAUGUGAAACCCCUUCGACGAGUCGAGUUGUUUGGGAAUGCAGCUCAAAAUGGGUGGUAAAUUUCAUCUAAAGCUAAAUAUUGGCCAGAGACCGAUAGCGCACAAGUAGAGUGAUCGAAAGAUGAAAAGCACUUUGGAAAGAGAGUCAAACAGCACGUGAAAUUGUUGAAAGGGAAGCGCUUGCGACCAGACCUGCUCGCGGGUGAUCAGCGGUGCUUUUCGCGCCGUGCACUCAUCCGCGAUCAGGCCAGCAUCGGUUCAGGCGGCCGGACAAAGACUCGGAGAAUGUAGCUCCCUCCGGGGAGUGUUUAUAGCUCCUCGUGCAAUACGGCCAGCCGGGACCGAGGACCGCGC
Molecule: ribosomal RNA, 503 nt
Filed under: Psora decipiens
Lineage: Eukaryota; Fungi; Ascomycota; Lecanoromycetes; Lecanorales; Psoraceae
Description: LSU rRNA
Rfam family: Eukaryotic large subunit ribosomal RNA
Source: RNAcentral